This 372-nucleotide ribosomal RNA is filed under the name uncultured organism. RNAcentral's name for it is "bacterial SSU rRNA". It matches the Rfam family "Bacterial small subunit ribosomal RNA", at positions 526 to 896 of the family's 1533-position model. The record is from RNAcentral.
CGAGAGGCCCAAACGUUUAUCCGGUAUUUACUGGGCUUAAAGAGUUCGUAGGCGGCGCAGAAAGUAGGGUGUGAAAGCCCUCGGCUCAACCGAGGAAUUGCGCUCUAAACUACUGUGCUCGAGGGACCUAGAGGUGAGCAGAACUGAUGGUGGAGCGGUGAAAUGCGUUGAUAUCAUCAGGAAUACCGGAGGCGAAGGCGGCUCACUGGGGGUCUUCUGACGCUGAGGAACGAAAGCCAGGGGAGCGAACGGGAUUAGAUACCCCGGUAGUCCUGGCCGUAAACGAUGAGCACUAGGCCGGAGGGCUGCACAGCCUUUCGGCCGUAGCUAAAGUGUUAAGUGCUCCGCCUGGGGAGUAUGGUCGCAAGGCUG